CCAGGUGCAAAGUGGGAAGUGUGAGUCCUCAGUCUUGGGCUAUUCGGCCACGUGCCUGCCGGACAUGGGACGCUGGAGGGUCAGCAGCGUGGAGUCCUGGCCUUUUGCGUCCACGGGUGGGAAAUUGGCCAUUGCCACGGCGGGAACUGGGACUCAGGCUGCCUCCCGGCCGUUUCUCAUCAGUCCACUGGACUCGUGGGCGCUCGCACUGGCGCUGAUGUAGUUUCCUGACCUCUGACCCGUAUUGUCUCCAGAUUAAAGGUACGACAUUUGGAGGCCCCAGCGAGAAACGCCACCGGGCGAGAGCCGGGCCCGCUGUGUGCUCCCCCGGAAGGACAGCCAGCUUGUAGGGGGGAGCGCCACCUGAAAAAAAAUUUCCAGGUCCCCAAAGGGUGACCGUCUUCCGGAGGACAGCGGAUCGACUACCAUGUGGGUGCCCACAAAAAUUCCACCUCUGAGUCCUCAACUGCUGACCCCGGGGUCAGGCCCCUGGAUCCUCCUGGAAUCCCCGAUCCCUGUUGCUCCCUGGCGGAGUUUUCUAGUCCCUCUUACUUGAAGCAUGUCUUUCAGAGCCCGGCACCACCCAUCUUGAGUAUCUGAUGGAUUUUCACAUCUCAAGCCAGCUGAGAGUAUGGGAAAUAGGACUCGUUAAAGCACAGAUAUCACACAAGUGAUUCAGAUUCACGAGGGUAACCCAGAUGAAGGUAUAUCGUUGUACCUGGCCCGCAUCACUUAGUAACUGUCACCUUUGAUUUAUUGAUUUACUUGAGAUGGAGUUUGGUUCUGUACCCGAGGCUGGAGUGCAAUGGCGUGAUCUCUGCUCACUACAACCUCUGCCUCCCAGGUUCAGAGUGAUUCUCCUGCCUCAGCCUCUUUAGCUGGGAUUACAGGCACCCACCAACAUGCCCAGCUAAUUUUUGUAUUUUUAGUAGAGAGGAGCUUUCACCAUAAUGGCCAGGCUGGUCUUGAACCUCAAAUGAUCUGCCCACCAUGGCCUCCCAAAGUGCUAGGAUUACAGGCUGGAGCUACAGAGCCCAGCCUGUCACCUUGAUUUAAAUGAAUGCAGCUUUCUUGGUGUCUUGAUGUUUGUGAGUUUCUGUGGAGUUUGAUACUGCUCCUUUUGCUGCUUGUUCUGUUUUUCCAGAGUCCCCUUAUCACUUGACGUGCUGUUAUAUUAUGUUUGAUUUAUUACAGAUACCCCAUCAGCCUGAGUCUCUUAAAGGCCUUUAUACACACAUGUCUACACAUAGGGAUUUGGAUUAUCUCGGGAUCCCACAUCCUCGCUGUCCCCUGUCCCCCCGCAACAUCCCCCACCAAUACCUUUCUGAAGUUUUCUAGUCCCUCCUUUUAGUUUGUGCUCCUUAAAGCCCAGCCCCAUGCCUGACUUUGGUUCCCAGUGAGCAUUGUACAUUUGUGGAUAUUAAAUCUUUGGCAAAGUCAUUUACCUGGG
This 1450-nucleotide long non-coding RNA is filed under the name Pan troglodytes (chimpanzee). Its description in RNAcentral is "lincRNA". Lineage: Eukaryota; Metazoa; Chordata; Mammalia; Primates; Hominidae. The record is from RNAcentral.